GACGAACGCUGGCGGCGUGCUUAACACAUGCAAGUCGAACGGUGAAGCGCCUUCCUUUUUGGUGGGUGUGGAUGAGUGGCGAACGGGUGAGUAACACGUGAGUAACCUGCCCCCUUCUUCUGGAUAACCGCAUGAAAGUGUGGCUAAUACGGGAUAUUCUGGGUCUGUCGCAUGAUGGGUCUGGGAAAGAUAUUGUUUCGGUGGGGGAUGGGCACGCGGCCUAUCAGCUUGUUGGUGGGGUGAUGGCCUACCAAGGCGGUGACGGGUAGCCGGCCUGAGAGGGUGGACGGUCACACUGGGACUGAGACACGGCCCAGACUCCUACGGGAGGCAGCAGUGGGGAAUAUUGCACAAUGGGCGCAAGCCUGAUGCAGCGACGCCGCGGGAGGGAUGGAGGCCUUCGGGUUGUGAACCUCUUUCGCCAGUGAAGCAGGCCUGCCUCGUUUGUGGGUGGGUUGACGGUAGCUGGAUAAGAAGCGCCGGCUAACUACGUG
Molecule: ribosomal RNA, 494 nt
Filed under: uncultured bacterium
Lineage: Bacteria
Description: partial 16S ribosomal RNA
Rfam family: Bacterial small subunit ribosomal RNA
Source: RNAcentral